GACGAACGCUGGCGGCGUGCUUAACACAUGCAAGUCGAGCGGUAAGGCCCUUUCGGGGGUACACGAGCGGCGAACGGGUGAGUAACACGUGGGUGACCUGCCCUCAGCUCUGGGAUAAGCCUGGGAAACCGGGUCUAAUACUGGAUAUGACUCCAUGACGCAUGUUGUGGGGUGGAAAGCCUUGUGCGGCUGAGGAUGGGCCCGCGGCCUAUCAGCUUGUUGGUGGGGUGAGGCCUACCAAGGCGACGACGGUAGCCGGCCUGAGAGGGCGACCGGCCACACUGGGACUGAGACACGGCCAGACUCCUACGGGAGGCAGCAGUGGGGAAUCUUGCGCAAUGGACGAAAGCCUGACGCAGCGACGCCGCGUGAGGGAUGACGGCCUGGUGUAACUACUUC
This 399-nucleotide ribosomal RNA is filed under the name uncultured bacterium. RNAcentral describes it as "bacterial SSU rRNA". It matches the Rfam family "Bacterial small subunit ribosomal RNA", at positions 28 to 433 of the family's 1533-position model. The record is from RNAcentral.